Molecule: ribosomal RNA, 253 nt
Filed under: uncultured bacterium
Lineage: Bacteria
Description: partial 16S ribosomal RNA
Rfam family: Bacterial small subunit ribosomal RNA
Source: RNAcentral
UACGUAGGGGGCAAGCGUUGUCCGGAAUCAUUGGGCGUAAAGAGCGUGUAGGCGGUUCGGUAAGUCGGCUGUGAAAGUCCAGGGCUCAACCCUGGGAUGCCGGUCGAUACUGCCGGACUAGAGUUCGGAAGAGGCGAGUGGAAUUCCCGGUGUAGCGGUGAAAUGCGCAGAUAUCGGGAGGAACACCUAUGGCGAAGGCAGCUCGCUGGGACGUUACUGACGCUGGGACGCGAAAGCGUGGGGAGCAAACAGG